GACGAACGCUGGCGGCGUGCUUAACACAUGCAAGUCGAACGGAACGGCCCUGCUUUUGGGGGGUGGUCGAGUGGGGAAAGGGGGAGUAACACGUGGGUUAACUGGCCUCUCCUUUGGGGUAAACCGCGGAAAAGGGGGGCAAAACCGGGGAGGAGUUGCUGUUGCAUGGGGGGGGGCGGGGAGAGUCGGCGGUUGGGGGUGGUCUGGCGGGUGAUCAGCUCGUUGGUGGGGUAGUGGCUUACGAAGGCUUGGCCGGGUAGCCGGCCUGAGAGGGUGAGCGGCCACGUUGGGACUGAGAUACGGCCCAGACUCCUACGGGAGGCAGCAGUGGGGAAUAUUGCACAAUGGGCGGGAGCCUGAUGCAGCAACGCCGCGUGCGGGAUGACGGCCUUCGGGUUGUAAACCGCUUUCGCCUGUGACGAGGCGUGAGUGACGGUAAUGGGUAAAGAAGCACCGGCUAACUACGUG
Molecule: ribosomal RNA, 468 nt
Filed under: uncultured bacterium
Lineage: Bacteria
Description: partial 16S ribosomal RNA
Rfam family: Bacterial small subunit ribosomal RNA
Source: RNAcentral